UGACAUGUAGCAGUUGUUUGAUGUGAGAA
RNAcentral lists this non-coding RNA (29 nucleotides) under Rattus norvegicus (Norway rat). Lineage: Eukaryota; Metazoa; Chordata; Mammalia; Rodentia; Muridae. The record is from RNAcentral.